AAGCGUUAUCCGGAUUUACUGGGUGUAAAGGGAGCGUAGGCGGCAAGGCAAGUCUGAAUGGUGAAAACCCGGGGCUCAACCCCGGGACUGCAUUGGAAACUGCUUAGCUAGAGUGUCGGAGAGGUAGUGGAAUUCCUAGUGUAGCGGUGAAAUGCGUAGAUAUUAGGAGGAACACCAGUGGCGAAGGCGACUUACUGGACGAUAACUGACGCUGAGGCUCGAAAGUGUGGGGAGC
This 235-nucleotide ribosomal RNA is filed under the name uncultured bacterium. RNAcentral describes it as "partial 16S ribosomal RNA". It matches the Rfam family "Bacterial small subunit ribosomal RNA", at positions 536 to 769 of the family's 1533-position model. The record is from RNAcentral.